This 493-nucleotide ribosomal RNA is filed under the name uncultured bacterium. RNAcentral's name for it is "partial 16S ribosomal RNA". It matches the Rfam family "Bacterial small subunit ribosomal RNA", at positions 29 to 507 of the family's 1533-position model. The record is from RNAcentral.
ACGAACGCUGGCGGCGUGCUUAACCCCUGCAAGUCGAACGGUGAAGCGCCUUCCUUUUUGGUGGGUGUGGAUGAGUGGCGAACGGGUGAGUAACACGUGAGUAACCUGCCCCCUUCUUCUGGAUAACCGCAUGAAAGUGUGGCUAAUACGGGAUAUUCUGGGUCUGUCGCAUGAUGGGUCUGGGAAAGAUAUUGUUUCGGUGGGGGAUGGGCUCGCGGCCUAUCAGCUUGUUGGUGGGGUGAUGGCCUACCAAGGCGGUGACGGGUAGCCGGCCUGAGAGGGUGGACGGUCACACUGGGACUGAGACACGGCCCAGACUCCUACGGGAGGCAGCAGUGGGGAAUAUUGCACAAUGGGCGCAAGCCUGAUGCAGCGACGCCGCGUGAGGGAUGGAGGCCUUCGGGUUGUGAACCUCUUUCGCCAGUGAAGCAGGCCUGCCUCGUUUGUGGGUGGGUUGACGGUAGCUGGAUAAGAAGCGCCGGCUAACUACGUG